AUGAACCCUAUCUGCCGCCGCCGCUCCGCCUUGCCGCCGCCGGCGAAGACGACCCCGACGGACGAUGAAAACCUCCUCCCCGAGGUACUCAUCCGCCUCCCCGCGCAGCCUUCCUCCCUCCCCCGCGCCUCCCUCGUCUGCAAGCAGUGGCGCCACCUCAUCGCCGAUCCCCAAUUCCUGCGCCGCUUCUGCGCCCACCACCGGGAGCCCCCCAUCAUCGGCGUGUUCCUGGACUUCUACCGCGGAGACCUCUCCUUCAGGUCGGUCCUGGAUCGGCCGGACCUCAUCCUGCCCGAGCGCUUCUCCGUGCGGUUCGACGGCAUCGAAGGCGGCGGCGUCGAGGGAAACGACGGCAUCUGGUCCUUCCGUCGCUGCCGCCACGGCCGCGUGCUCUUCACCAGGGGGGACCACCUCGGCAAGGGCUGCCGCCAGGUCCUGGUGUGGGAUCCCGUCACAGGCGACCGCCGUUUCAUAGGCAGUCCGCCGAAGUUGGAUCACGACUGGAGCAAGUCACAUGUGCAAGCGGAUGUGCUCUGUGUUGCCGGCGACAAGGACCACGUGCACGGCAGCUGCCACUCGAGCCCCUUGAAGGUCGUCUUGGUGUGCGCCGACAAGCUCGUCGCGCGAGCAUGCGUCUACUCAUCGGAGACCAACUCAUGGGGCGAUCUCAUAUCGACCGAUGUUCCGUAUCACACUAUGUCUUGUGUUGGAAGUCGAAGCAUCCUGGUUGGCAAUUCACUUCACUGGUUUAUUUUUGGUACUCAGACUGGCAUCCUUGAGCUUGAUUUGGAUACGCAGACCCUAGCUGUUGUAGAGGUGCCGCCUGAUGCCCAUGCUAGUCAUCAUGGCCUCUACCUGAGUACGCUGGGUGGUGGGCUUGGCUUCAUCGUUGUGUCAGAUGACUUCGUAGCUCAACUAUGGGUGAGGACGACUGAUUUUGAUGGAGUUGCUGGAUGGAUGCCGGCACAAGCAAUUGAGUUGAACAAGCUUCUUCCGCUGAGACCAGGCGAAUGGACAAAUCUGCAAACAGUGUUGGGUGUUGCUGGAGAUGAGAAUGUGAUAUUUGUGUCAACAAAUGGAGGCGUCUUCAUGGUCCAUCUUGAGUCCUUGCAGUUUAAGAAGAUUUUUGAAAGCAAUCCUUUGGCCGAAUGUACGACAUCCACCGUCCACCCAUUCACAAGUUUUUUUACUGCAGGCAAUAAUAUGAAAGUACAAGGAUAA
This 1221-nucleotide ribosomal RNA is filed under the name Triticum aestivum (bread wheat). Its description in RNAcentral is "partial small subunit ribosomal RNA". Lineage: Eukaryota; Viridiplantae; Streptophyta; Magnoliopsida; Poales; Poaceae. The record is from RNAcentral.